This 26-nucleotide small RNA is filed under the name Bombyx mori (domestic silkworm). Its description in RNAcentral is "ovarian small RNA-35804". Lineage: Eukaryota; Metazoa; Arthropoda; Insecta; Lepidoptera; Bombycidae. The record is from RNAcentral.
UGUCUCUGUCUUUUUCAGCUACAUUG